UACAGAGGGUGCGAGCGUUAAUCGGAGUUACUGGGCGUAAAGGGCGCGUAGGCGGGUAUUUAAGUGAGAUGUGAAAUCCCUGGGCUUAACCUAGGAAUUGCAUUUUAGACUAAGUAUCUGGAGUACAGUAGAGGGUGGUGGAAUUUCCGGUGUAGCGGUGAAAUGCGUAGAGAUCGGAAGGAACAUCAGUGGCGAAGGCGACCACCUGGACUGUGACUGACGCUGAGGCGCGAGAGCGUGGGUAGCAAACAGG
RNAcentral lists this ribosomal RNA (253 nucleotides) under uncultured bacterium. RNAcentral describes it as "partial 16S ribosomal RNA". It matches the Rfam family "Bacterial small subunit ribosomal RNA", at positions 524 to 776 of the family's 1533-position model. The record is from RNAcentral.